GAUUCCCUAGUGAUUUCUGGUUGAUCCCGGCGGAGGCUACUGCUAUUGGGAUUCGAUUAAGCCAUGCAAGUUGAAUGAAUUUAGAUUCAUGGCGUACGGCUCAGUAACACGUGGAUAACUUACCCUUAGGACUGGGAUAACUCUGGGAAACUGGGGAUAAUACCGGAUAUUAGGCUAUGUCUGCAAUGGUUUGCCUUUGAAAUGUUUCUUUGUAUUCGCCUAAGGAUAGAUCUGCGGCUGAUUAGGUCGUUGGUGGGGUAAUGGCCCACCAAGCCGAUGAUCGGUACGGGUUGUGAGAGCAAGGGCCCGGAGAUGGAACCUGAGACAAGGUUCCAGACCCUACGGGGUGCAGCAGGCGCGAAACCUCCGCAAUGUACGAAAGUGCGACGGGGGGAUCCCAAGUGUUAUGCUUAAAGGUAUGACUUUUCAUUAGUGUAAAAAGCUUUUAGAAUAAGAGCUGGGCAAGACCGGUGCCAGCCGCCGCGGUAACACCGGCAGCUCGAGUGGUAGCUGUUUUUAUUGGGCCUAAAGCGUUCGUAGCCGGUUUAAUAGUCUUUGGUGAAGCUUGUAGCUUACCUAUAGAAUGCUGGAGAACUAUGGACUUGAGUCGGGAGAGUUAGAGUACUCCGGGUAGGGGUGAAUCUAUAUCCUGGAGACACUGUGGCGAAGCGCUACUGGACAUCUGACGGAGUACGAAGCAGGGCCGACCGAUAAACCCGGAAGCCGCCGAACAUGGACUGGGUUGAUGCCUUAAUUUCCGGCAAGGAACUGUAUCCCCCUGGAAUCGUCCCAAUGACUAAGAAUGGGGGACCCACCCGGACCCG
RNAcentral lists this ribosomal RNA (824 nucleotides) under uncultured rumen archaeon. RNAcentral's name for it is "bacterial SSU rRNA". The stretch from base 14 to 739 matches the Rfam family "Archaeal small subunit ribosomal RNA". The record is from RNAcentral.